AGGUGAGAUCUUACUAGCGUUAAUGCACUGGAUCGCAUCAGAGCUUUGUAGUUAAGCACGCUUGGGCUAGAGUAGUACUGGGAUGGGUGACCUCCCGAGAAGUCUUAGUGUUGCAUCGU
Molecule: non-coding RNA, 119 nt
Organism: Picea glauca (white spruce)
Lineage: Eukaryota; Viridiplantae; Streptophyta; Pinopsida; Pinales; Pinaceae
Source: Rfam